This 1809-nucleotide ribosomal RNA is filed under the name Salmonella enterica subsp. enterica serovar Typhimurium. RNAcentral's name for it is "partial 23S ribosomal RNA". It matches the Rfam family "Bacterial large subunit ribosomal RNA", at positions 1 to 1757 of the family's 2925-position model. Lineage: Bacteria; Pseudomonadati; Pseudomonadota; Gammaproteobacteria; Enterobacterales; Enterobacteriaceae. The record is from RNAcentral.
GGGUUGUGAGGUUAAGCGACUAAGCGUACACGGUGGAUGCCCUGGCAGUCAGAGGCGAUGAAGGGCGUGCUAAUCUGCGAUAAGCGCCGGUAAGGUGAUAUGAACCGUUAUAACCGGCGAUACCCGAAUGGGGAAACCCAGUGUGAUUCGUCACACUAUCAUUAACUGAAUCCAUAGGUUAAUGAGGCGAACCGGGGGAACUGAAACAUCUAAGUACCCCGAGGAAAAGAAAUCAACCGAGAUUCCCCCAGUAGCGGCGAGCGAACGGGGAGGAGCCCAGAGCCUGAAUCAGCAUGUGUGUUAGUGGAAGCGUCUGGAAAGGCGCGCGAUACAGGGUGACAGCCCCGUACACAAAAGCGCAUGUGCUGUGAGCUCGAUGAGUAGGGCGGGACACGUGGUAUCCUGUCUGAAUAUGGGGGGACCAUCCUCCAAGGCUAAAUACUCCUGACUGACCGAUAGUGAACCAGUACCGUGAGGGAAAGGCGAAAAGAACCCCGGCGAGGGGAGUGAAAAAGAACCUGAAACCGUGUACGUACAAGCAGUGGGAGCACCCUUCGGGGUGUGACUGCGUACCUUUUGUAUAAUGGGUCAGCGACUUAUAUUCUGUAGCAAGGUUAACCGUAUAGGGGAGCCGGAGGGAAACCGAGUCUUAAUUGGGCGUUAAGUUGCAGGGUAUAGACCCGAAACCCGGUGAUCUAGCCAUGGGCAGGUUGAAGGUUGGGUAACACUAACUGGAGGACCGAACCGACUAAUGUUGAAAAAUUAGCGGAUGACCUGUGGCUGGGGGUGAAAGGCCAAUCAAACCGGGAGAUAGCUGGUUCUCCCCGAAAGCUAUUUAGGUAGCGCCUCGUGAAUUCAUCUCCGGGGGUAGAGCACUGUUUCGGCUAGGGGGCCAUCCCGGCUUACCAACCCGAUGCAAACUGCGAAUACCGGAGAAUGUUAUCACGGGAGACACACGGCGGGUGCUAACGUCCGUCGUGAAGAGGGAAACAACCCAGACCGCCAGCUAAGGUCCCAAAGUCAUGGUUAAGUGGGAAACGAUGUGGGAAGGCCCAGACAGCCAGGAUGUUGGCUUAGAAGCAGCCAUCAUUUAAAGAAAGCGUAAUAGCUCACUGGUCGAGUCGGCCUGCGCGGAAGAUGUAACGGGGCUAAACCAUGCACCGAAGCUGCGGCAGCGAACGUAUCACCCAAGACAACUUUACGGAGUUGACGAUUGACGGAGCGAAGCGACGUCAAAGCGUUCAUUAAAGUCGAGUUGGCUUAGGGAUACGUUCGUUGGGUAGGGGAGCGUUCUGUAAGCCUGUGAAGGUGUGUCGUGAGGCAUGCUGGAGGUAUCAGAAGUGCGAAUGCUGACAUAAGUAACGAUAAAGCGGGUGAAAAGCCCGCUCGCCGGAAGACCAAGGGUUCCUGUCCAACGUUAAUCGGGGCAGGGUGAGUCGACCCCUAAGGCGAGGCCGAAAGGCGUAGUCGAUGGGAAACGGGUUAAUAUUCCCGUACUUGGUGUUACUGCGAAGGGGGGACGGAGAAGGCUAUGUUGGCCGGGCGACGGUUGUCCCGGUUUAAGCGUGUAGGUGUGUGUUCCAGGUAAAUCCGGUUCACUUUAACACUGAGGCGUGACGACGAGGCACUACGGUGCUGAAGCAACAAAUGCCCUGCUUCCAGGAAAAGCCUCUAAGCAUCAGGUAACACGAAAUCGUACCCCAAACCGACACAGGUGGUCAGGUAGAGAAUACCAAGGCGCUUGAGAGAACUCGGGUGAAGGAACUAGGCAAAAUGGUGCCGUAACUUCGGGAGAAGGCACGCUGACAC